Molecule: unclassified non-coding RNA, 641 nt
Filed under: Hevea brasiliensis (rubber tree)
Lineage: Eukaryota; Viridiplantae; Streptophyta; Magnoliopsida; Malpighiales; Euphorbiaceae
Source: RNAcentral
UCUGGUACUGACCCAGUUCCAGCUUCACCUUGACAAGGCAUGACAAGACAGAUCUGUAGGUUUACAUCCUUUGAUAUUACUUUUGCUACUAGGAGCCUGUUGUAGUGAUAUAGUAGUGAAAAAACCGAGAAUUGGAGAGUGAACUGUUUCUAGUUAUUUAUGUUCUGUUGGCAAUUUGAAGCUGAUAAAAUCCAUGGUGCUUUACUUCCUGGAGUUGGAAUAUAUUGUAUUGCCUAUACUGCCUCGUGAGUUUGCAUCUGGAAAAUAAUUAAAGUUUGCCUGACCAGCAUCCUUUGCAUGUAUCUACAAGAUUGACGUGGUUGAUUUUCUGGCAGAAUUCCAACAAAGAACUUUUGGUUCGUAAAAGAGGGGAAGCGUGAGGUUUAUGUAAUCUCACCUCAUCGUUAUGGGAUGUCACUAGGGUGGCCAUCAAACCCUAUCAGUCUUCCAAGGGAUAUCCGUAUGAACAAGUUUGGCAUACAUUUGGUUGUAUUUUAUGGUUGCUAUGGGCAUAUGGCAGGCCCCCUUUUUUUGUUUUUGAAUUUUAUAUUGGAAGACAAGUGCAGAGUAAUGUUCUCUACUUGCUGAAGAUAAUUCAUAUUUGUUUUUACAAGAGUUGCUAAAUGGUGGACCAACAGAAA